ACUCAAAUGAAUUGACGGGGGCCCGCACAAGCGGCGGAGCAUGUUGCUUAAUUCGAUGCGACGCGAAGAACCUUACCUGGGUUUGACAUGUGGGGAAAAGCCGCAGAGAUGCGGUGUCCUUCGGGGCCCCAUACAGGUGGUGCAUGGCUGUCGUCAGCUCGUGUCGUGAGAUGUUGGGUUAAGUCCCGCAACGAGCGCAACCCUUGUCCGAUGUUGCCAGCGGGUAAAGCCGGGGACUCGUCGGAGACUGCCGGGGUCAACUCGGAGGAAGGUGGGGACGACGUCAAGUCAUCAUGCCCCUUACAUCCAGGGCUGCAAACAUGCUACAAUGGCCGGUACAAAGGGCUGCUAUCCCGCGAGGGUGAGCGAAUCCCAAAAAGCCGGUCUCAGUUCGGAUCGCAGUCUGCAACUCGACUGCGUGAAGUCGGAGUCGCUAGUAAUCCCGGAUCAGCAAUGCCGGGGUGAAUACGUUCCCGGGCCUUGUACACACCGCCCGU
This 497-nucleotide ribosomal RNA is filed under the name uncultured bacterium. Its description in RNAcentral is "partial 16S ribosomal RNA". It matches the Rfam family "Bacterial small subunit ribosomal RNA", at positions 899 to 1397 of the family's 1533-position model. The record is from RNAcentral.